Molecule: ribosomal RNA, 450 nt
Filed under: uncultured bacterium
Lineage: Bacteria
Description: bacterial SSU rRNA
Rfam family: Bacterial small subunit ribosomal RNA
Source: RNAcentral
AACGAACGCUGGCGGCAUGCCUAACACAUGCAAGUCGAACGAAGUCUUCGGACUUAGUGGCGCACGGGUGCGUAACGCGUGGGAAUAUACCAAUCAGUGGGGAAUAACUUUGGGAAACUAAAGCUAAUACCGCAUACGCCCGAGAGGGGAAAGAUUUAUCGCUGAUUGAUUAGCCCGCGUGAGAUUAGGUAGUUGGUGGGGUAAUGGCCUACCAAGCCUACGAUCUCUAGCUGGUCUGAGAGGAUGAUCAGCCACACUGGAACUGAGACACGGUCCAGACUCCUACGGGAGGCAGCAGUGGGGAAUAUUGGACAAUGGGCGAAAGCCUGAUCCAGCAAUGCCGCGUGAGUGAUGAAGGCCUUAGGGUUGUAAAGCUCUUUUACCCGAGAUGAUAAUGACAGUAUCGGGAGAAUAAGCUCCGGCUAACUCCGUGCCAGCAGCCGCGGUAAU